CCUACGGGGGGCAGCAGUGGGGAAUAUUGGACAAUGGGCGAAAGCCUGAUCCAGCCAUGCCGCGUGUGUGAAGAAGGCCUUCGGGUUGUAAAGCACUUUCAGUGGGGAAGAAAGCCUUGGGGCUAAUACCCUCGAGGAAGGACAUCACCCACAGAAGAAGCACCGGCUAACUCCGUGCCAGCAGCCGCGGUAAUACGGAGGGUGCGAGCGUUAAUCGGAAUUACUGGGCGUAAAGCGCGCGUAGGCGGUCUGAUAAGCCGGUUGUGAAAGCCCCGGGCUCAACCUGGGAACGGCAUCCGGAACUGUCAGGCUAGAGUGCAGGAGAGGAAGGUAGAAUUCCCGGUGUAGCGGUGAAAUGCGUAGAGAUCGGGAGGAAUACCAGUGGCGAAGGCGGCCUUCUGGACUGACACUGACGCUGAGGUGCGAAAGCGUGGGUAGCAAACAGGAUUAGAUACCCUUGUGUC
This 464-nucleotide ribosomal RNA is filed under the name Vreelandella stevensii. RNAcentral's name for it is "partial 16S ribosomal RNA". It matches the Rfam family "Bacterial small subunit ribosomal RNA", at positions 338 to 795 of the family's 1533-position model. Lineage: Bacteria; Pseudomonadati; Pseudomonadota; Gammaproteobacteria; Oceanospirillales; Halomonadaceae. The record is from RNAcentral.